GAUGAACGCUAGCGGCAGGCCUAACACAUGCAAGUCGAGGGGGAGGUUACUUUCGGGUAACUGAGACCGGCGUACGGGUGCGUAACGCGUAUACAAUCUGCCUUUCACUGGGGGAUAGCCCGAAGAAAUUUGGAUUAAUACCCCAUAGUAUAGUAAUACGGCAUCGUGAUGCUAUUAAAGCUUAGGUGGUGAAAGAUGAGUAUGCGUUCUAUUAGCUAGUUGGAGAGGUAACGGCUCCCCAAGGCGAUGAUAGAUAGGGGUUCUGAGAGGGAUGUCCCCCACACUGGCACUGAGAUACGGACCAGACUCCUACGGGAGGCAGCAGUGAGGAAUAUUGGACAAUGGUCGGAAGACUGAUCCAGCCAUGCCGCGUGCAGGAUGAAGGUCUUAUGGAUUGUAAACUGCUUUUGUAAGGGAAGAAUAAGGGCUACGCGUAGUUUGAUGACGGUACCUUACGAAUAAGCAUCGGCUAACUCCGUG
RNAcentral lists this ribosomal RNA (480 nucleotides) under uncultured bacterium. RNAcentral's name for it is "partial 16S ribosomal RNA". It matches the Rfam family "Bacterial small subunit ribosomal RNA", at positions 28 to 507 of the family's 1533-position model. The record is from RNAcentral.